RNAcentral lists this ribosomal RNA (477 nucleotides) under Artemisia canariensis. Its description in RNAcentral is "partial internal transcribed spacer". Lineage: Eukaryota; Viridiplantae; Streptophyta; Magnoliopsida; Asterales; Asteraceae. The record is from RNAcentral.
UCGAACCCUGCAAAGCAGAACGACCNGNGAACACGUAAAAACAANGAGCGUCGAUUGGAUUAGGCGCUUGUUUGAUCCUCUCGACGCUUUGUCGACGCGCAUUCACUCNNNGUUCUUUUGGACCUUGUGANNNNNNCGUUGGCGCAUUAACAACCCCCGGCACAAUGUGUGCCAAGGAAAACUAAACUCUAGAAGGCUNGUUUCAUGUUGCACCCGUUCGCGGUGUGCUCAUGGGAUGUGGCUUCUUUAUAAAUCGCGUCGCCCCCCACAGUUCUCCGCAAAGGGAACUGUUGUUUUGGGGGCGGAUAUUGGUCUCCCGUGCUCAUUGGCGUGGUUGGCCGAAAUAGGAGUCCCUUCGAUGGACGCACGAACUAGUGGUGGUCGUAAAAACCCUCGUCUUUUGUUNNGUGUGCCGUUAGUCGCAAGGGAAACUCUUNAAAAACCCCAACGUGUCGUCUCUUGACGAGGCUUCGACCG